RNAcentral lists this small RNA (126 nucleotides) under Marmota monax (woodchuck). The record is from RNAcentral. Lineage: Eukaryota; Metazoa; Chordata; Mammalia; Rodentia; Sciuridae.
GCUGGGCACAGUGACGCAUACCUGUAAUCCCAGCAGCUAGGGAGGCUGAGGCAGGAGAAUCCUGAGUUCAAAGCCAGCCUCAGCAAAAAGUAAGGUGCCAAGCAACUCAGAGAGACCCUGUCUCUA